UAUUACAAGACUGCUAGCACCGUCUUGGUAAUCUGCGGCUCAUCAGUUCCGUGCGACGGAAGGCGUUGGAUCUAGAUCAAUUCCGUGUGGAUACACGUAGAGGCCGGGCACGUGCGCGGUUAAUCGGAAUCUCAAUUUCCACCGUACAGUAGAUCAAGAGACCUUAACUGGUCCGAGGUAAUGUAAUCUGAACUUUAAAUCUGUUUAGAUUAGAUUUUAUUUUACAUUGCAACAUGAGAAUGAUCCACCGGCACUGGAUUGAUUUGUUUUAUUUUGGUUCAUAUGUGAUAUGAAUUUUUGUUUUUCGAAAAUACAAUUUUAUUUUCCGCUGCAAUUUUUGUGCCAGAUAAAUUCUUACAAGUGCUAUGCGGGGCAAAGUGCUACACCAACGGGUUUCGGCACAACCAAAAUUAAUUCACUUACACGCUAGUUAUAAUAACUAGGUUUAAGCAUUUUGGGCCGAUGGUUUGGACCAACGAGUUAUUGUUACUAGCGGGAUGGAUCGUUGCACAAACAACAUUAAUUCACCUCCC
Molecule: long non-coding RNA, 533 nt
Filed under: Ananas comosus (pineapple)
Lineage: Eukaryota; Viridiplantae; Streptophyta; Magnoliopsida; Poales; Bromeliaceae
Description: long non-coding RNA (ACOM_LNC023828)
Source: RNAcentral